GAGGGUAUAGCUUAGUGCUAGAGCACGUGCUUAGCAUGCACGAGGUUCCAGGUUCAAUCCCAAGUACCUCCA
RNAcentral lists this transfer RNA (72 nucleotides) under Camelus bactrianus (Bactrian camel). It matches the Rfam family "tRNA". From Rfam's summary of the family: Transfer RNA (tRNA) molecules are approximately 80 nucleotides in length. Their secondary structure includes four short double-helical elements and three loops (D, anti-codon, and T loops). Further hydrogen bonds mediate the characteristic L-shaped molecular structure. tRNAs have two regions of fundamental functional importance: the anti-codon, which is responsible for specific mRNA codon recognition, and the 3' end, to which the tRNAs corresponding amino acid is attached (by aminoacyl-tRNA synthetases). tRNAs cope with the degeneracy of the genetic code in two manners: having more than one tRNA (with a specific anti-codon) for a particular amino acid; and 'wobble' base-pairing, i.e. permitting non-standard base-pairing at the 3rd anti-codon position. RNAcentral also lists the same sequence under 2 other names. The record is from Rfam by way of RNAcentral. Lineage: Eukaryota; Metazoa; Chordata; Mammalia; Artiodactyla; Camelidae.